Molecule: long non-coding RNA, 2300 nt
Filed under: Mus musculus (house mouse)
Lineage: Eukaryota; Metazoa; Chordata; Mammalia; Rodentia; Muridae
Description: long non-coding RNA chr15:76542306-76544606
Source: RNAcentral
UCUGAAGGCCAUGCCAGGGUGAGAGCCUGGGUUUCUGCCUUCUCUCUGUCUUAGGGCAGACUAGAGAGAGAAACCUGUGAGGGACACACAACACCAAGUGUGUACCAGGGUGACUUUGAACUCACAGGAGUUGCGUGGGAGAAGGGGAUUUCCACCCGGUUCUUUCAGAUGAUCUUUCUGAACGUUAACACUUCUGUCCUCGAAUUGGCCGCCUGGCUUUGUUUUCCUCCUGGCCUCCAGACCUAGUCAGGAUCACCUGAGCAGGGGGGAGCUCCCUGGUCUCUUAGGAGUUUCCGAAGCUCAGGUAUUGGCUAGGAGGAGCGGGAGUGAUAGGGCAAGGUAGGCAGGCACUGAUGGGCCGGCAGAGGUAAGGGCGGUAUGCAGGAGUAAAGCAAGGGAGACCAGUAUUAAGGUUCAACUCUGCAGGACUCUCCUUCCACUGACCCUUUUCCCCUUUGUACUCUGCCCUUGUCCCUGCUUAGCACCCUUGCCUGGGGCCCCUCCCUCCUUGGCUGCCUGAGGCUAGAGACUGGGAGAGCCACCUCCUGGCUCCCUUUCUUGGCUUCCUCGGGUCAGUGAUCCGACCAUAGCCUCUGCCUUAUGCUCACAUGUGGAUUUGUGCAAGGUGUGCUACGUCCAAGGGCCACGGGGCAGCAUAGCCCUUCAGAUCCGUAGGGUCUCCUGAAGAGAAGGGAACGGGUCCCCCAGAUCCUGGCCAGCCUGUGCUAGAAGUGGGUGAUUUGAGGAAGCUAUUACUCUUUGAAGUUCUAGUGCCUUCCUGUCCUGCCACAGAAAACCGGGGCAAGGGUCAAAAUAACACAGGGUGUAAAACAACAGAUCCAGGAUGAAGGUAAGGCUGUUUACCAAGUCCACAGGUUUUCAUGACAGUCAGGAGAGCCCACCAUCCAGGUGCCUGAGUCCUGGUCUGGGGGAGCGUGUUGGAAGAUACCCCACAAGAAGACAGCCGCUGAAGCAGGAUGUCUUGUCCCAGAAGGCAGUCCCUUGAGUGUGGAGCCACACUGCACAGUUUUCUGUGUUACCACCAUGAAUGUCCCCUUAGCUCCUAAAAAUCAGAAAAGGGCCAUUCAGGGGUAGCCUCUUUUCCAGAUGUGAGACAGCCUAUGAUACAGGGAUAAGGCUUGUCUUUUUUUUUUUUUUUUUUUCCAGAGCUGAGGAUCGAACCCAGGGCCUUGGGCUUUCUAGGCAAGCGCUCUACCACUGAGCUAAAUCCCCAACCCCAAGGCUUGUCUUUUGGGGACAGAAUGACUUAACAUUAAUGUCUUCCCCAUCCUGGUUUCUUAGCCCACUGAGUCCCCAGUAGCAGUGGGUUUUGAUGCAGCCGCAGAUGUUAAAACCUUUCAACCCUGCUCAGAGACUCAACCUGAUUUGGAGACACAGGAUAAUCCUUCAAGGGUCACCACACUUGAACUCAGAGCGCCCUAAUUUCUAUGAUACUGGAAGACAAGAGGGGGUGUGGAGCAUUAGCAGUUCCAAGAAAUAGCCGCUUUAGCCCCUCCCACCCCAUCUUACCUCCAAGGAAACCAUUUGUUGCUGUGCUUAGAGCUUCUGGGGCUCCAAAUCUAACGUUCAUUGUCUUUUUCUCUCCCUUCCUUUCCCCUCUUCCCCUCCUGUCUGUCUGUCAUUUUUCCUUUCCCUUCCCUUUCUUUCCUUGACAAGAUUUCAAGUAGCCUAGGCUGGCUUCAAACUUAGCAAGGAUCCUCCUGCCUUGAGUUCUGGUACUACAGAUGCGCACCACCAUGCCAGUCUCUUCAGUGCUAGGGACUAAAUUCAGGGCGAGGCAUUAUGUCAGUAUGUCAGGCAAGCAGUCUAACAACUGCAUUACGUCCUUAGCCCCUAUGUAUAUUUAACUCUGUAAAUCUUUUUUUUUUUUUUCAAGACAAGGAUUCUCUGUGUAGCCCUGGCUGUCCUGGAAGUUACUCUGUAGACCAGGCUGGUCUCGAACUCAGAAAUCCGCCUGCCUCUGCCUCCCAAGUGCUGGGAUCAAAGGCGGGUGCCACCACUGCCCGGCUGUAAUUCUUUUUAUUAUCCUUUUUGAUUCAGACUACAGGAACAGGACUGGGGUGUAGCUCAGUGGUAGAGUACUUGUCUAGAAUGUGCAAGACACUGGGUUCAGUCUCCAACACUGCAAGACAAAAGCAAAACACGAUUGUAUAGAAGUACAGAAAUGGUAGAGGUGGGGGUGGGGAAUGCUUAAUGGGUCCAAAGUUUGUCUUGUAAGACAAAAGAGUCGGGCUGGAUGGUGGUAAGCUGGUUACACAACAUUCUGAAUGUUUUUUAAG